GACGAACGCUGGCGGCGUGCUUAACACAUGCAAGUCGAACGAAAAGAGGGAAAGAGCUUGCUCUUUCCGGAAUUGAGUGGCAAACGGGUGAGUAACACGUAAACAACCUGCCUUCAGGAUGGGGACAACAGACGGAAACGACUGCUAAUACCGAAUAAGUUCCAAGGGCCGCAUGGCCCAUGGAAGAAAAGGUGGCCUCUACCUGUAAGCUAUCGCCUGAAGAGGGGUUUGCGUCUGAUUAGCUGGUUGGAGGGGUAACGGCCCACCAAGGCGACGAUCAGUAGCCGGUCUGAGAGGAUGAACGGCCACACUGGAACUGAGACACGGUCCAGACUCCUACGGGAGGCAGCAGUGGGGAAUCUUCCGCAAUGGGCGAAAGCCUGACGGAGCAACGCCGCGUGAGUGAUGACGGCCUUCGGGUUGUAAAACUCUGUGAUCCGGGACGAAAAGGCAGAGUGCGAAGAACAAACUGCAUUGACGGUACCGGAAAAGCAAGCCACGGCUAACUACGUGCCAGCAGCCGCGGUAAUACGUAGGUGGCAAGCGUUGUCCGGAAUUAUUGGGCGUAAAGCGCGCGCAGGCGGCUUCCCAAGUCCCUCUUAAAAGUGCGGGGCUUAACCCCGUGAUGGGAGGGAAACUGGGAAGCUGGAGUAUCGGAGAGGAAAGUGGAAUUCCUAGUGUAGCGGUGAAAUGCGUAGAGAUUAGGAAGAACACCGGUGGCGAAGGCGACUUUCUGGACGAAAACUGACGCUGAGGCGCGAAAGCGUGGGGAGCAAACAGGAUUAGAUACCCUGGUAGUCCACGCCGUAAAC
Molecule: ribosomal RNA, 812 nt
Filed under: uncultured bacterium
Lineage: Bacteria
Description: bacterial SSU rRNA
Rfam family: Bacterial small subunit ribosomal RNA
Source: RNAcentral